GACGAACGCUGGCGGCGUGCUUAACACAUGCAAGUCGAACGGAAAGGCCCUGCUUUUGUGGGGCGCUCGAGUGGCGAACGGGUGAGUAACACGUGAGUAACCUGCCCUUGACUUUGGGAUAACUUCAGGAAACUGGGGCUAAUACCGGGUAGGAGCUCCUGCUGCAUGGUGGGGGUUGGAAAGUUUCGGCGGUUGGGGAUGGACUCGCGGCUUAUCAGCUUGUUGGUGGGGUAGUGGCUUACCAAGGCUUUGAAGGGUAGCCGGCCUUGGAGGGUGGACGGCCACAUUGGGACUGAGAUACGGCCCAGACUCCUACGGGAGGCAGCAGUGGGGAAUAUUGCAGAAUGGGCGGAAGCCUGAUGCAACAACGCCGCGUGCGGGAUGACGGCCUUCGGGUUGUAAACCACUUUCGCCUGUGACGAAGCGGGAGUGACGGUAAUGGGUAAAGAAGCAACGGCUAACUACGUG
Molecule: ribosomal RNA, 468 nt
Filed under: uncultured bacterium
Lineage: Bacteria
Description: partial 16S ribosomal RNA
Rfam family: Bacterial small subunit ribosomal RNA
Source: RNAcentral